Molecule: long non-coding RNA, 461 nt
Organism: Ochotona princeps (American pika)
Lineage: Eukaryota; Metazoa; Chordata; Mammalia; Lagomorpha; Ochotonidae
Exons: 3
Source: RefSeq, a predicted model, not a curated record
CCAAGUAUGCUGACCUCAUUUCUGAGGUGAUGCUGGUGUGGUGCUAGGUUUUGGAAAUAAACUUAGAGCAAACUUGCAUUUCACUGCUUUAUGUUGGUCUAUUCAAACCAUCAAAGAGAGGCAAAGUUACAAGAUAAAAAUGAUGUACUACAUGUGAAGCUUUCGCAACAGCGGCUUGGGCGUCUUAGAUAAGAGAGGCGGCAGAAGAAGUUGUGCACAGGCAAGGCCAAGAGCCCCGACAGCGAGAUCCCCAAGGUGUCAGAGAUGCAGGCGGCGGCCAUGGCAAACUCACGAUGCUUAUCGCUGGUCUGGGAAAAGCACAGGGCUCAGCAGGGCCUGGGGCAGAGGCUGGGAGCCCACAGCGGAGGGAGAAGCAGCAUUUGGGUACCUGCAGCAUGGCCAGAGCCCAAGUGAAGCGGAUGCGGCAGCAGCGGAGAGAAGAGCGGGAGGCGAACACUCCA